AUAUUGUUAGAAUAGAUAUAGGAAGAUGUGGUGUGAGUGCCAAUGAGACAACUCUCCAUACAAAUAACAAUUUAAAAAGUAAACCAUUAUAGGUUAAAGUACGGCCUUCAACACGGAGCUUUGGCUCACACCGAACAACAAGCUAUAAAGGGCCCCAAAAUUACUAGUGUAAAACCAUUCAAACGGGAAAACCAACGGUCUAAUCUAUAUAAACAAAACGAGAAACGAGAAACACGUAUAUAUUACAUAAACAAACGACAACUACUGUACAUCAGAUUCCUGACUUAGGACAGGUGCAAACAUUUGCAGCGGG
This 313-nucleotide long non-coding RNA is filed under the name Mytilus galloprovincialis (Mediterranean mussel). The record is from RNAcentral. Lineage: Eukaryota; Metazoa; Mollusca; Bivalvia; Mytilida; Mytilidae.